AUAUAUUUAGUUUAUUAUAGAAUAAGAGUUUGUCGUACUCUAGGUGAUUGUUGUAAUCAGUAUAUU
RNAcentral lists this transfer RNA (66 nucleotides) under Schistosoma incognitum. RNAcentral's name for it is "tRNA-Asp". The record is from RNAcentral. Lineage: Eukaryota; Metazoa; Platyhelminthes; Trematoda; Strigeidida; Schistosomatidae.